GGCGUAAGGCAGACGCUCGCUGGUGGCGGGUACCCCAACCACGGGCCCCCACUGGAGGAAAGUCCGAGCUCCACAGGACAGGAUGCUGGCUAACGGCCAGUGGGCGUUGAGCCCCAGGAGAGUGCCACAGAGAAGAAACCGCCCUCCGCCGGGAGACCGGCCGAGGGUAAGGGUGAAAAGGUGCGGUAAGAGCGCACCGCGCGCGUGGUGACACGCGUGGCAGGGAAAACCCCAUUCGGAGCAAGACUAAAUAAGAGAGCGCUUGAGGCCUCGAGUCCGGCCGAUGCUCUCGGGUACGUCGCUAGAGACCGCAGGCAACUGCGGCCCCAGAGGAAUGAGCGUCUCCGCAGCGGAUCGUAAGACCGCGGCGUGACAGAACUCGGCUUAUCGCCUCACCCCGUCC
This 403-nucleotide RNase P RNA is filed under the name Myxococcales bacterium. RNAcentral's name for it is "RNase P RNA component class A". It matches the Rfam family "Bacterial RNase P class A". Rfam says of the family: Ribonuclease P (RNase P) is a ubiquitous endoribonuclease, found in archaea, bacteria and eukarya as well as chloroplasts and mitochondria. Its best characterised activity is the generation of mature 5'-ends of tRNAs by cleaving the 5'-leader elements of precursor-tRNAs. Cellular RNase Ps are ribonucleoproteins. RNAcentral also lists the same sequence under 1 other name. Lineage: Bacteria; Pseudomonadati; Myxococcota; Myxococcia; Myxococcales. The record is from RNAcentral.